This 1163-nucleotide ribosomal RNA is filed under the name Agrococcus lahaulensis. RNAcentral's name for it is "bacterial SSU rRNA". It matches the Rfam family "Bacterial small subunit ribosomal RNA", at positions 276 to 1458 of the family's 1533-position model. Lineage: Bacteria; Bacillati; Actinomycetota; Actinomycetes; Micrococcales; Microbacteriaceae. The record is from RNAcentral.
ACGACGGUACCCGCCUGAAGGGUGACCGCCCCACUGGGAUUGGACCCGGCCCAGAUUCUUACGGGGAGCAGCAGGGGGAAUAUGCACAAUGGCGCAAGCCUGAUGCAGCAACCCGCGUGAGGACGACGGCCUUCGGGUUGUAACCUCUUUUAGCAGGAAGAAGCGAAAGUGACGGUACCUGCAGAAAAAGCACCGGCUAACUACGUGCCAGCAGCCGCGGUAAUACGUAGGGUGCAAGCGUUGUCCGGAAUUAUUGGGCGUAAAGAGCUCGUAGGCGGUUUGUCGCGUCUGCUGUGAAAACCCGAGGCUCAACCUCGGGCUUGCAGUGGGUACGGGCAGACUAGAGUGCGGUAGGGGAGAUUGGAAUUCCUGGUGUAGCGGUGGAAUGCGCAGAUAUCAGGAGGAACACCGAUGGCGAAGGCAGAUCUCUGGGCCGUAACUGACGCUGAGGAGCGAAAGCAUGGGGAGCAAACAGGCUUAGAUACCCUGGUAGUCCAUGCCGUAAACGUUGGGAACUAGAUGUGGGGACCAUUCCACGGUCUCCGUGUCGUAGCUAACGCAUUAAGUUCCCCGCCUGGGGAGUACGGCCGCAAGGCUAAAACUCAAAGGAAUUGACGGGGGCCCGCACAAGCGGCGGAGCAUGCGGAUUAAUUCGAUGCAACGCGAAGAACCUUACCAAGGCUUGACAUAUACCGGAAACGGCCAGAGAUGGUCGCCCCGCAAGGUCGGUAUACAGGUGGUGCAUGGUUGUCGUCAGCUCGUGUCGUGAGAUGUUGGGUUAAGUCCCGCAACGAGCGCAACCCUCGUCCUAUGUUGCCAGCACGUAAUGGUGGGAACUCAUGGGAUACUGCCGGGGUCAACUCGGAGGAAGGUGGGGAUGAGGUCAAAUCAUCAUGCCCCUUAUGUCUUGGGCUUCACGCAUGCUACAAUGGCCGGUACAAUGGGCUGCGAUACCGCAAGGUGGAGCGAAUCCCUAAAAGCCGGUCUCAGUUCGGAUUGGGGUCUGCAACUCGACCCCAUGAAGUCGGAGUCGCUAGUAAUCGUAGAUCAGCAACGCUACGGUGAAUACGUUCCCGGGCCUUGUACACACCGCCCGUCAAGUCAUGAAAGUCGGUAACACCCGGAAGCCAUUUGGCCUAACCUUUUGGACACAUCCUCGCCUC